This 767-nucleotide ribosomal RNA is filed under the name Enterobacter asburiae. Its description in RNAcentral is "partial 23S ribosomal RNA". It matches the Rfam family "Bacterial large subunit ribosomal RNA", at positions 56 to 867 of the family's 2925-position model. Lineage: Bacteria; Pseudomonadati; Pseudomonadota; Gammaproteobacteria; Enterobacterales; Enterobacteriaceae. The record is from RNAcentral.
ACGUGCUAAUCUGCGAAAAGCGCCGGCGAGGUGAUAUGAACCUUUGACCCGGCGAUGUCCGAAUGGGGAAACCCAGUGCAAUUCGUUGCACUAUCGUUAACUGAAUACAUAGGUUAACGAGGCGAACCGGGGGAACUGAAACAUCUAAGUACCCCGAGGAAAAGAAAUCAACCGAGAUUCCCCCAGUAGCGGCGAGCGAACGGGGAGCAGCCCAGAGUCUGAAUCAGCUUGUGUGUUAGUGGAAGCGUCUGGAAAGUCGCACGGUACAGGGUGACAGUCCCGUACACGAAAGCACACAGGCUGUGAACUCGAAGAGUAGGGCGGGACACGUGGUAUCCUGUCUGAAUAUGGGGGGACCAUCCUCCAAGGCUAAAUACUCCUGACUGACCGAUAGUGAACCAGUACCGUGAGGGAAAGGCGAAAAGAACCCCGGCGAGGGGAGUGAAAAAGAACCUGAAACCGUGUACGUACAAGCAGUGGGAGCACCUUCGUGGUGUGACUGCGUACCUUUUGUAUAAUGGGUCAGCGACUUAUAUUCUGUAGCAAGGUUAACCGUAUAGGGGAGCCGAAGGGAAACCGAGUCUUAACUGGGCGUUAAGUUGCAGGGUAUAGACCCGAAACCCGGUGAUCUAGCCAUGGGCAGGUUGAAGGUUGGGUAACACUAACUGGAGGACCGAACCGACUAAUGUUGAAAAAUUAGCGGAUGACUUGUGGCUGGGGGUGAAAGGCCAAUCAAACCGGGAGAUAGCUGGUUCUCCCCGAAAGCU